RNAcentral lists this microRNA precursor (176 nucleotides) under Oryza sativa Japonica Group (Japanese rice). Its description in RNAcentral is "MIR812 microRNA precursor family". It matches the Rfam family "MIR812 microRNA precursor family". The record is from Rfam by way of RNAcentral. Lineage: Eukaryota; Viridiplantae; Streptophyta; Magnoliopsida; Poales; Poaceae.
AAAAAGGCAAACUGUUUGUUUCCGUGUCUAACUUUGACUGUCCGUCUUAUCUGAAUUUUUUUAUAAUUUAUAUUUUCAUUGUUGUUAGAUGAUAAAACAUGCGUGACUUGUCUUUUUAAUUUUUUUAUAAUUUUUUCAAAUAAGACGGACGGGCUAACCUUCCUUCCAAAUCCCAU